CAAUUGAGACAGUUCUUCAAGCUUAGAACGGAGAGGAUGGUUGGUAUAUUGAAGGGAGCGAAAUAUGAAUUUAUCAGAUAAAUAUUGUCGCCUAAGAUAUAAUGGGGCAUCAACACAUUCUACUUGUAAAGCAUUAAUUGGACUAGUUUUCAUAGCUCCUGUAAUAAAUCUUAAUGCCUUAGACUGUAUAUUAUCUAAUUUUUUAAAACGGGUUGUAUUUCCAGGAGAUAAUAAAAAGGUACCAUAGUCUAAAAUACUUCGGAUUAAAGCGUUGUACAUAAGUUUCAUACAAAAGGGAUGGGCACCCCACCAUACACCGGAUAAACAUCUAAGGAUGUUUAGGUUUCGCUCACACCUAUUAAAAAUGUAGUCACAAUGAUGUACGCCAGAUAGCUUAGAAUCUAAAAACACACCGAGGAACUUUACAGAGUUUUUAACAGGGAUAAUAAUACUACCAAAAUACACAGUGAUCGGAGGAGGAAGUCGCUUUCUAGAAAAAAGCAUGGCAACACUUUUAGUGGGGGAUAUUUCAAGACCAUUAGUAUCAAGCCAUGUUUUUAAUAAAUUAAGAGAAUGAGACAGUACUGAGCAAGCAAUGGCCGGUGAUUGAUGAAUGGAAUAAAGUAAAAGGUCAUCAGCAUACUGAAGAAUACAAAUCCGAUUUCCAAAAGAAGCUUUCAAAUCAUGGGUAUAAAUAUUAUAUAAAAUGGGACUUAAUACUGAUCCUUGAGGAAGACCUCUCCAUAAGGUUCUAGUUACAGCAGUAGAGUCUUGUGAAAUUAGAGUGAUGUGUCUUUCAUAUAAAUUAUUUAUGAUAAAAUUUGAUAACAUUACAGGUACAUUUAAAUACUGUAGUUUUUUAUGGAGAACUGACAACACUACAUUGUCAUAAGCAGAUUGUACAUCUAAAAAAGUGGCAACAACAGAAUCAUUCCUUGAAAAUGCUAAAUAAAUGUCAGUGGUAAAGAUGGCAAUACUGUCCAUCGUGCUCUUUCCUCGACGAAAACCAAAUUGACUGUCGCAAAGUAAAUUAUUGCUUUCUAAAAACCAUUCAAGACGAGUUUUCACCAAAUGUUCACAGAGUUUUAUCAAGACCGAAGAUAAUGCAAUAGGACGAUAUGAAUUUGCAUUGGAGGGAUUCUUAUUAGGAAAUAUUCAAGACUGUGGUCGCCUAAAUGAGAGAUGAAAGAAUAUGGGAUUCCAUCUUCACCAGGAGCAGAGUCUAUAAGGGAAGAUAGUAUUCCUUUAAAUUCAUACAUAGAAAAUGGACUAUUGAGACCAGAGGGGUUUAAUGGCAUCAGAGGCAUAAUUAUUCUUUCAGGAACUGUAGUAGGAGCAAGUCUGUCGAGGAAUUGAUUAGUUAAUGAAUCGGGGAAAGAACCAGAGGUUUCAGUAAAAGCACACCUGAAUCUUCUAAUAUUACGCCAUACCACUGAAGGACGGACAUUAGGGGAAAUAGAGAGGCAAAAAGUUUUCCAGCUAUCUGCUUUUUUCUUUUUGAAUAAUAAACUAGUGGUCUUGAAAGCAUCUGUAACCAGAUCAAAAUUUUCAGAUGUACAAUUCUCAUAAUAUUGAAGCUCAGCUUGUUUUCUUUUUUUAAUAGCUUCCGAACAUUCUUGAUCCCACCAAGGUGGAGAUGGAAUGAAGCCCAGAGCACCAUUUUUAACUGGAAAAGUUUUGUCAGCUACCUCUAUAAAUAAUUUAGUAAAUGCAUCAGCACAAAUUAAUUCUGAACCAUGUGAGAUAUUAGGAAGGGAAGUCAUCUUUUUCUCUAUAAGGGUUUUAAAGGUAUCCCAAUCAGCAUUAUUAAGUCGAUAUUUUAGUCUAGGAGAAUGUCUAAAUGUAAAAUUAAUAUGAAAAGGAAAACUAAGAAGUAAAGGGAAGUGGUCACUACCAAAUGAAGAAGAGAGUGUAGACCAUGAAAUAGUGGAAGCUAAACAAGGAGUACAAAUACUUAAAUCAGGGACACUUGAGCCUUCAUUGGGAGUGGUCCGCCGGGUCACAGAACCAUUGUUGAGAAAGCAAAGAUUAUGUGAGUCUAACAGUUCCAUCAAUGAAACUCCGUAUGUAUUGGUUGUUGAACUGCCCCAUGAACUAUGUUGACAGUUAAAGUCACCUAAUAAGAUAAAAGGCUUAGGGAGAGAAGAAAUAAUAGAGUCAAUUUCAACAAAGAUAGAAGAACUUGGAUGAGGGAUAUAUAUUGAAACAUAGCAGAUAUUAUUAACAAUAGCAGCAAUAAUUGAAAAAUCAUUACUAUGAGAAGGAAUAGGAAAGAGAGAAAAGGGAAGAUGAUGCUUGACUAGUAAGGCAACCCCACCAUACCCGUCAAUGCGAUCCUCACGGAGACAGGCAUAGCCCGAGUACCUACAUGGAGUACCUGGUUUUAACCAAGUCUCCUGUAGAGCAAAGAUAAAAGGUUUAUAUUUAUUUAUAAGAUAAAUAAUAUCACUUUUCUUAGAUGAAGCACUUCUACAGUUCCACUGUAGAGCUGUGGCUUGCUUGUCCAUUAUUAAUAUAAUUUGGUAAGUUAACGAUAGUGUCAAUUAAAGGAGCAGCGUUGGACGGUGAAAGAAUAUUAGACUGUGAUAAAGUGUUAAUGAGAAUUUUAAUUAGGUCUGCAAUAGAUUGUAAUGUCAAUUCAUUAUUGUUGUUUGGGUUUAAACCACAACCAUUCCUGGGUAAGGGCAUAUCAUAGUCUUUAAUUAAUUCAUGUUGUGUAUUUUUGUCAUAACCUUUGGAUAGUUUAGGAAUAUUUUUUGGUUUAAGAAAAACAGUCUUUUUGUAAGUAUUACUCAAAGACUGUUUACGUGUCUGUUCAUUUUGAGGAGUAGAAAUUGUGGAAGCCCCUACAUUGGAAGAAGAAAGUAAAGCAUCAGCAUAAGACACUUUAGAAAUCGGUGCAUGAAUUUUUGAUGCUUCAGCAUAAGAAAUACAGCUCUUGGCCAUAGUUUCUUUGAUGGCUUUUUGGCGAUUAAACUCUAAACAUUUUUUGCUUGUGGCAAAAUGGGAACCUUGACAUAAGCAGCAGUAUGCAUCAUCCUCUAGGAUAGAGCACUGAUCAGCCGUGUGGUCUUGACCACACUUGAAACAUUUUGGUUUUGAUCUACAAAUUGCUUUCACGUGACCAAAUCUGCAACAAUUGUAACAUUGUAUGGUGGGGAAAAUGUAAAUAUCAACUGGGAGAGCAGUGUAGCAAAUAAAAAUUCGCUUAGGAAGUACUUGUCCAUCAAACGUAAGAACCACAGUCUCAGUAGGCUUAAAUUCACUGCCAUUACUUGCAGUGAUACGCCGUCUCAUUCUUCUAACUUUUAAAAUUGGACCGCAUCCAACAGGUAAAUUAAUAUUCUCCUUAACUUCUUCAUCUGACCACUCAGCAGGUAUGCCUCUUACAACACCCAUACGGGUCACAGUAAAUGUUGGGAUAAAAACCUUAUACUCGACUGAUUGUAAAGCAGAACUAUUUAAGAAUGAAUUUGCGUCUUGGUAAUUAUUAAAAGAAAGAGACAGUCUAUUACGGCCAAUUCGUUUUAAACUUCCGUUAACUAUAUUAUGUAUAGAGUUUCUUUUUAAAAAACGACCAAAAGCAAUAGGAUGGACUGUUACAUUGUCAUUAGGAGUUUGCUGUAUCCUUUGCACAUGUACAACAUAUGGUGCUGCAUCACUCGCCUGAUAUGUUAAACGAGCUACAGAUUCUGGUUUUUUAUUAAACGAAUUUAGCUGUGACUCCGUGAACAACGGAGCAGUACUAAUUUGGGUAUUGGUAUUGGAUAAAGGAAUGCAAUAACA
This is a long non-coding RNA of Pieris rapae (cabbage white), 3786 nucleotides long. RefSeq lists it as uncharacterized. The transcript is spliced from 2 exons. NCBI's taxonomy places the organism in Eukaryota, Metazoa, Arthropoda, Insecta, Lepidoptera, Pieridae. The record is from RefSeq and is a predicted model, not a curated record.